Molecule: ribosomal RNA, 250 nt
Filed under: uncultured bacterium
Lineage: Bacteria
Description: partial 16S ribosomal RNA
Rfam family: Bacterial small subunit ribosomal RNA
Source: RNAcentral
UACGUAGGUGGCAAGCGUUGUCCGGAUUUACUGGGCGUAAAGGGCGCGUAGGCGGCUUUUUAAGUCAGAUGUGAAAACCCGAGGCUUAACUUCGGGAUUGCAUUUGAAACUGGGGGGCUUGAGUGCAGGAGAGGUAAGUGGAAUUCCUAGUGUAGCGGUGAAAUGCGUAGAUAUUAGGAGGAACACCAGUGGCGAAGGCGACUUACUGGACUGUAACUGACGCUGAGGCGCGAAAGCGUGGGGAGCAAAC